GAUAAUUGGCUAAUGGUGGCCAAGUGCCCAUAGCAACGUAGCUUUUUGAUCCUUUGAUGUCAGUUCCUCUAUCAUUGUGAAGCAGAAUUCACCAAGCACUCACCAAUUAAUAGGGAAUGUGCGCUGGGUUUAGACCACAGUGAGACAGGGUU
This 152-nucleotide non-coding RNA is filed under the name Mus musculus (house mouse). RNAcentral describes it as "Eukaryotic large subunit ribosomal RNA". It matches the Rfam family "Eukaryotic large subunit ribosomal RNA", at positions 2825 to 2984 of the family's 3401-position model. The record is from Rfam by way of RNAcentral. Lineage: Eukaryota; Metazoa; Chordata; Mammalia; Rodentia; Muridae.